This 460-nucleotide ribosomal RNA is filed under the name uncultured bacterium. RNAcentral describes it as "partial 16S ribosomal RNA". It matches the Rfam family "Bacterial small subunit ribosomal RNA", at positions 338 to 795 of the family's 1533-position model. The record is from RNAcentral.
CCUACGGGUGGCAGCAGUGGGGAAUAUUGGGCAAUGGGCGCAAGUCUGAACCAGCAACGUAGCGUGAAGGAUGACUGCCUUAUGGGUUGUAACUUUCUUUUAUAUGGGCAUAAAAUGUUCCACGUCUUGGAUUUUGUGUGUACCCUAUGAAUAAGGAUCGACUACCUCUGUUCCAGCAGCCGCGGUAAUACGGAGGAUCCGCGCGUUAUACGGAUUUAUUGGGGUUAAAGGGAGCGUAGGUGGAUUAUUAAGUCAGUUGUGAAAAUUUGAGGCUCAACCAUAGAAUUGCAUUUGAAACUGGCUGUCUUGAGUACAGGAGAGGUGGGCGGAAUUCGUGGUGUAGCGGUGAAAUGCGUAGAUAUCACGAAGAACACCGAUUGCGAAGGCAGUUCACUGGACAGCAACUGACACUGAGGCGCGAAAGUGUGGGGAUCAAACAGGAUUAGAUACCCUUGUAGUG